GGUUAAGCGACUAAGCGUACACGGUGGAUGCCCUGGCAGUCAGAGGCGAUGAAGGACGUGCUAAUCUGCGAUAAGCGCCGGUAAGGUGAUAUGAACCGUUAUAACCGGCGAUUUCCGAAUGGGGAAACCCAGUGUGAUUCGUCACACUAUCAUUAACUGAAUCCAUAGGUUAAUGAGGCGAACCGGGGGAACUGAAACAUCUAAGUACCCCGAGGAAAAGAAAUCAACCGAGAUUCCCCCAGUAGCGGCGAGCGAACGGGGAGGAGCCCAGAGCCUGAAUCAGCAUGUGUGUUAGUGGAAGCGUCUGGAAAGGUGCGCGAUACAGGGUGACAGCCCCGUACACAAAAGCGCAUGUGCUGUGAGCUCGAUGAGUAGGGCGGGACACGUGGUAUCCUGUCUGAAUAUGGGGGGACCAUCCUCCAAGGCUAAAUACUCCUGACUGACCGAUAGUGAACCAGUACCGUGAGGGAAAGGCGAAAAGAACCCCGGCGAGGGGAGUGAAAAAGAACCUGAAACCGUGUACGUACAAGCAGUGGGAGCACAGGUUUACCUGUGUGACUGCGUACCUUUUGUAUAAUGGGUCAGCGACUUAUAUUCUGUAGCAAGGUUAACCGUAUAGGGGAGCCGUAGGGAAACCGAGUCUUAACCGGGCGUUAAGUUGCAGGGUAUAGACCCGAAACCCGGUGAUCUAGCCAUGGGCAGGUUGAAGGUUGGGUAACACUAACUGGAGGACCGAACCGACUAAUGUUGAAAAAUUAGCGGAUGACCUGUGGCUGGGGGUGAAAGGCCAAUCAAACCGGGAGAUAGCUGGUUCUCCCCGAAAGCUAUUUAGGUAGCGCCUCGUGAAUUCAUCUCCGGGGGUAGAGCACUGUUUCGGCUAGGGGGCCAUCCCGGCUUACCAACCCGAUGCAAACUGCGAAUACCGGAGAAUGUUAUCACGGGAGACACACGGCGGGUGCUAACGUCCGUCGUGAAGAGGGAAACAACCCAGACCGCCAGCUAAGGUCCCAAAGUCAUGGUUAAGUGGGAAACGAUGUGGGAAGGCCCAGACAGCCAGGAUGUUGGCUUAGAAGCAGCCAUCAUUUAAAGAAAGCGUAAUAGCUCACUGGUCGAGUCGGCCUGCGCGGAAGAUGUAACGGGGCUAAACCAUGCACCGAAGCUGCGGCAGCGACGCUGAUGCGUUGUUGGGUAGGGGAGCGUUCUGUAAGCCUGCGAAGGUGACCUGUGAGGGUUGCUGGAGGUAUCAGAAGUGCGAAUGCUGACAUAAGUAACGAUAAAGCGGGUGAAAAGCCCGCUCGCCGGAAGACCAAGGGUUCCUGUCCAACGUUAAUCGGGGCAGGGUGAGUCGACCCCUAAGGCGAGGCCGAAAGGCGUAGUCGAUGGGAAACGGGUUAAUAUUCCCGUACUUGGUGUUACUGCGAAGGGGGGACGGAGAAGGCUAUGUUGGCCGGGCGACGGUUGUCCCGGUUUAAGCGUGUAGGUGUGUGUUCCAGGUAAAUCCGGUUCACUUUAACACUGAGGCGUGAUGACGAGGCACUACGGUGCUGAAGCAACAAAUGCCCUGCUUCCAGGAAAAGCCUCUAAGCAUCAGGUAACAUCAAAUCGUACCCCAAACCGACACAGGUGGUCAGGUAGAGAAUACCAAGGCGCUUGAGAGAACUCGGGUGAAGGAACUAGGCAAAAUGGUGCCGUAACUUCGGGAGAAGGCACGCUGACACGUAGGUGAAGUGAUUUACUCACGGAGCUGAAGUCAGUCGAAGAUACCAGCUGGCUGCAACUGUUUAUUAAAAACACAGCACUGUGCAAACACGAAAGUGGACGUAUACGGUGUGACGCCUGCCCGGUGCCGGAAGGUUAAUUGAUGGGGUCAGCGCAAGCGAAGCUCCUGAUCGAAGCCCCGGUAAACGGCGGCCGUAACUAUAACGGUCCUAAGGUAGCGAAAUUCCUUGUCGGGUAAGUUCCGACCUGCACGAAUGGCGUAAUGAUGGCCAGGCUGUCUCCACCCGAGACUCAGUGAAAUUGAACUCGCUGUGAAGAUGCAGUGUACCCGCGGCAAGACGGAAAGACCCCGUGAACCUUUACUAUAGCUUGACACUGAACAUUGAGCCUUGAUGUGUAGGAUAGGUGGGAGGCUUUGAAGUGUGGACGCCAGUCUGCAUGGAGCCGACCUUGAAAUACCACCCUUUAAUGUUUGAUGUUCUAACGUGGACCCGUAAUCCGGGUUGCGGACAGUGUCUGGUGGGUAGUUUGACUGGGGCGGUCUCCUCCUAAAGAGUAACGGAGGAGCACGAAGGUUGGCUAAUCCUGGUCGGACAUCAGGAGGUUAGUGCAAUGGCAUAAGCCAGCUUGACUGCGAGCGUGACGGCGCGAGCAGGUGCGAAAGCAGGUCAUAGUGAUCCGGUGGUUCUGAAUGGAAGGGCCAUCGCUCAACGGAUAAAAGGUACUCCGGGGAUAACAGGCUGAUACCGCCCAAGAGUUCAUAUCGACGGCGGUGUUUGGCACCUCGAUGUCGGCUCAUCACAUCCUGGGGCUGAAGUAGGUCCCAAGGGUAUGGCUGUUCGCCAUUUAAAGUGGUACGCGAGCUGGGUUUAGAACGUCGUGAGACAGUUCGGUCCCUAUCUGCCGUGGGCGCUGGAGAACUGAGGGGGGCUGCUCCUAGUACGAGAGGACCGGAGUGGACGCAUCACUGGUGUUCGGGUUGUCAUGCCAAUGGCACUGCCCGGUAGCUAAAUGCGGAAGAGAUAAGUGCUGAAAGCAUCUAAGCACGAAACUUGCCCCGAGAUGAGUUCUCCCUGAGACUUAGAGUCUCCUGAAGGAACGUUGAAGACGACGACGUUGAUAGGCCGGGUGUGUAAGCGCAGCGAUGCGUUGAGCUAACCGGUACUAAUGAACCGUGAGGCUUAACCUU
This 2908-nucleotide ribosomal RNA is filed under the name Salmonella enterica. RNAcentral's name for it is "23S ribosomal RNA". It matches the Rfam family "Bacterial large subunit ribosomal RNA". Lineage: Bacteria; Pseudomonadati; Pseudomonadota; Gammaproteobacteria; Enterobacterales; Enterobacteriaceae. RNAcentral also lists the same sequence under 3 other names. The record is from RNAcentral.